Molecule: long non-coding RNA, 2745 nt
Organism: Delphinapterus leucas (beluga whale)
Lineage: Eukaryota; Metazoa; Chordata; Mammalia; Artiodactyla; Monodontidae
Source: Ensembl
CCCCGGCGCGCGGGGCGUAGAACCUAGUCGACUCGUAGUGACCUGCCGGGUGUUUUGUACCUUCUAAGUAGAGCGCGUCUUGGUUUACGCACGGUCAUGUGUUCUCUCAGGAAUCCAGGCUGCGCCUCGACCGGCCUCACCAAGCCGCCCUUUCACGCCACUCGUGGGAAGCUAAGCCACCCACUCCCACACAGCUUUCAAGGAGGAAACAGCUGGCUCUGUCCGGAAUGCCCACUGUCUCUAUCAACUGCUACCACCUGCACCUUUCCAUGCUCCUCCUGUAUGAAAAUUCAAGCUCCAGAAAACCUUCCCUGAUUCCCUGCAAUCUGUGUUAAGACCACUGCAGUGUGCUGCGGUUGCUUCUCUCCAUUUACCAUGCUGUGCUUAACGCGCUACCGGACACAUAGUGGGUGCUCAAUAAAUGAACAGGCAACCUCGAGUCAUUUCUUUCAUUCACUCAGUCAACACUUACACAGAAAUAACUCCGAGGAGCCUUCUUUACCCAUUGUCAAGCAUUAUCUAAGAGCUUUUGAUACAUUAUCUCUUUAAUCCUCCCAGCAACCGUGUGAGGAGAUGCUUUUAUUGUCCACAUAGUAAAGAUAAGGAAAAUGAAACACAGAGUCACACAGUUACAGGGAGCCCAACCAGAGGCAAGUGCGCCUGCACAGCAGGCGGAGCCUCAGAUGGCUCUCAAAACACCUGGCUCUGGGCUGAAAUGAACUACCCAAGAACCCGGGUUAGCUUUUCCUGAACUGCAGAGGGGGCUGGCAGGUCACUGGCCUGACUUUUUCAUUCACUAAAUAUUUAUUGGCAUUGCUGCUAGGCACUGAUAUAUAAAGAUAAAUGUCACAAAAGCUCUCCCUUCAAAGGGUCUUCAGUGGAAACAGACAUGUUUAAUCAUGACAGUACAGUGAGAUAAGUGUUUCAGUAUCUAAUGGAGAUUGCAGUAGGUUGCCUAGAAGAAGAUUAGGUUAACAUUGCCUGUUGGAUGGGAGUUGGAAACCGGAGAUGGGAGAUCUAGGAAGGCUUCUGGUGGAGGCGAUACUUUCACUUUUUUGAAGAACAAGUGAGAGUUUUUUAGGCAGAAAGACUAGAAGAGAAAGGGAGCAGACCCAGAUGCAUGGCACUGUGUGGGCCCUCCAGAGAAUCAUGGAUGGCUUGAGCAGCAGAGUUCAGAUAGAAGAUUUUCAAGGGAUGACAACAAAAGGAAAGGAAGGGUCUUAUAUAUCUGGCAGAGCGCCUCCUGAGAGAAUCCUCUACGCUUAUUAUCGUUGGGAUAAUGUAAAUGAAUGAACAUGGAACAUUGUAAAGCUCAGUAGAAAUACAGGAUACUGUGACUAUUAGCCCCAUGGCUUCUGUGUGCUCCCUGAGUUAGAAUGUGACAAUAAUGGAGUCAGAGGCCGGAGUCAGCCCCCAAAGACUUGCCCCUAUUUCAGAUCCUCAGAUGUACUUUCUAACCCAGUGGCUGUCUUGCAGGUGGGGUUUGUUGGUUAACAGACUUGGGAGCCAUCAUGACUCAAGGAUCAUAGUUUGAGGUCAGAGCCCCCACGAUCAGAAAAGGAGCACAGGGGACUUCCCUGGUGGCGCGGUAGAUAAGACUCCAAGCUCCCAAUGCAGGGGGCCGGGGUUCGAUCCCUGGUCAGGGAACUAGAUCCCACAUGCAUGCUGCAACUAAGGAGCCCACGUGCCGCAACUAAGGAGCCCACGUGCCGCAACUAAGACCAGGUGCAACCAAAUAAAUAAAUAUUAAAAAAAGAAAAAGGAGCACAAAAUUUUGUUCCUUUUUAAGUUUUCACUUUGAAAUAAUUACAGACCCACAGGGAGUUGCAAAAGUAGUACUUAGAGACCUGUGCAUCUUCACUCAGUUUCCCCCAAUGGUAACAUCUUACAUAGCUAUAGUAUAAUAUCAAAAUCAGGAAAUCGAUAUUGGUACAGUGCACAAAGGCUUUUUGAAGACAUCCUAGAAACUUCUUACAAAACUGAGUGAAGGCUCUACAGACCCUGCAUUUUACAAAAUCCUCAUUGGCUAUUUUAUUACAAAAGUUAUAGCUCAUAGUUCAAAAAACCAAUUCAUACCACUGGACAAAUGACAGAAAGCUUACAGAAAAAAAUCAAGAUGGCUUUUUACACUGAAAAAAAAGAGUCAUUUAUAACUUUUAAAAUAUGCAAAUUAAACUUGCAAUGAGAUAACAUGUUUUCUUCUUAGAUUUAAAAGUCUGAUAAUACUGUGUUGAUCUGACAUUGGGUAACAGGCACUGGAAAAUGUUUCUGCAGAAAGUAAAUCGGUACAAUCUUGUUGGAGGGCAAUUUGAAAAGACCCAGCAUUUAUCCUUCUGGGAAUUUAUUAUAAUACAUGCAUGUGUGCAGAAUGACAUAUUUAUAAGGAUAUUCGUUGCAGUGACGCUAAUUGUAGUGAAAAGACAGGAAUAGUCUACAUUUUAUCUAUAGGAGACUGACUCAAAAAAGCCACAGAAGGAAGUAUUGUGCAGCCAUGAAAGUGGAAGAAGCUCUUUAUGUAGUGACAUGUAACAAAAUUCAAGAUACAUUGUUAAAGAAAAAAGUGAGGCUCAGAACAGUAUGUAAUGUUUGCUACCAUUUGUGUUUAAAAAGUUGGAGGGAUGGGGAGAAAUACGCACACAUAUCUGACCUGGCAUGUGCAUAAAAUAUCUCUGGAAAGAUACACAAGGGAAUGUGAAGAGGGUCGUCGCUGAGGAGGAGAACUCAGGGAGACUAGUUUUAAAACAU